Molecule: ribosomal RNA, 497 nt
Filed under: uncultured bacterium
Lineage: Bacteria
Description: partial 16S ribosomal RNA
Rfam family: Bacterial small subunit ribosomal RNA
Source: RNAcentral
GAUGAACGCUGGCGGCGUGCCUAAUACAUGCAAGUCGAGCGAACGGACGAGAAGCUUGCUUCUCUGAUGUUAGCGGCGGACGGGUGAGUAACACGUGGAUAACCUACCUAUAAGACUUGGAUAACUUCGGGAAACCGGAGCUAAUACCGGAUAAUAUUUUGAACCGCAUGGUUCAAAAGUGAAAGACGGUCUUGCUGUCACUUAUAGAUGGAUCCGCGCUGCAUUAGCUAGUUGGUAAGGUCACGGCUUACCAAGGCAACGAUGCAUAGCCGACCUGAGAGGGUGAUCGGCCACACUGGAACUGAGACACGGUCCAGACUCCUACGGGAGGCAGCAGUAGCGAAUCUUCCGCAAUGGGCGAAAGCCUGACGGAGCAACGCCGCGUGAGUGAUGAAGGUCUUCGGAUCGUAAAACUCUGUUAUUAGGGAAGAACAUAUGUGUAAGUAACUGUGCACAUCUUGACGGUACCUAAUCAGAAAGCCACGGCUAACUACGUG